AGUUUGAGAGUCCUCGCCUUCGUCCUCCCUGUCUCCUUCGGCACCCAUCGUGACGAAACGGAUGCUGUAACGAUGCGUUGCGUACUCAUCGUAAUUACUCCGAGUGUCUUUAAUUCGCGUCUCGGAUACGACCUCUUCGGUUGCGCUGAUCAUCGCUGUGUGUGUGUUAUAAAUUGACACCAUCGAUGGAGGUUGGGGACACCACUGAUUGAAUAAUCUCUCUGUUGUUCUUCAUUCGCGUCGUAGUCAUUUCUUUUACCGAAACGCUCGGUGUUCAGAUUCAUUCCGUCGUUUAGUCAUCACUUUGCAAGGCGGUGUUUCGACUUUCUGUAUCUCUUCUUCAUCUUCCUACUGCCUCUGAUCCUCAUCUCUAUCGCUUCUUUUUUCCAUCAACAUGUCCCUCUCCGAUUCAGAGUGGGCAUGAGACACCCAUGACAGACUAUUACAUCAGAUGAUCAGAGAAAAAUCAACUCACAUGUGAGAACUGAUGCAGAGAGAAAUGUCUCACCAACGCAUUUAUGGAGUCUCUGCUUCUGCACAUCUUAACAUGGCGACUGAUUACAUUCUCCAGCUCCUGCUAAUAUAUCUGUAUUGGAGACAUCACUGAUGAUAUACUUUCAAGAAUACAAUGGUUGGAGUCUUGGAGUAUUGAACAUGUCAUUCCAGGAAGAAAUAUACCAUCAAAUGCUCUCGCACAGUGUGUUACGUACGAGAAUAGGCAUCACUCCUACAUUGCUUUGGUUGGUCCAGCCUGGUUGCAGUCGAUGCUUGCUCAAGAAAGCAGAAAUGCUUGAUGUAAGAGUGCAGUAGUUUUAAUCAGUGUCUUUUUAUACAGACGGGUCCACCCUGUUAGUUCUCCUGUUUUGUCUUUUUGACUGAUUCAGUGACUGUAGGAAACUCUGAUUUGGACUUUGGAAUUAUUGAAAGUGUUAGAAAAGCAAAUGUUACUUGAAAACACAGGAGGUGAAUACUUUAGAAUUUUAUCAAACUGUCAUAGUUUAAGAAUGUGAUUUCAUUCAAGAUUCAAUAGAAUAAAUAAAAAAAAAUCAUUCUACAUUAAAUAG
Raphanus sativus (radish) is the source of this 1064-nucleotide long non-coding RNA. RefSeq lists it as uncharacterized. The record is from RefSeq and is a predicted model, not a curated record. The transcript is spliced from 3 exons. Lineage: Eukaryota; Viridiplantae; Streptophyta; Magnoliopsida; Brassicales; Brassicaceae.